RNAcentral lists this ribosomal RNA (868 nucleotides) under Agromyces sp. RNAcentral describes it as "bacterial SSU rRNA". It matches the Rfam family "Bacterial small subunit ribosomal RNA", at positions 52 to 927 of the family's 1533-position model. The record is from RNAcentral. Lineage: Bacteria; Bacillati; Actinomycetota; Actinomycetes; Micrococcales; Microbacteriaceae.
UACCAUGCAGUCGACGAUGAAGCUGGAGCUUGCUCUGGUGGAUUAGUGGCGAACGGGUGAGUAACACGUGAGUAACCUGCCCUGGACUCUGGGAUAAGCGUUGGAAACGACGUCUAAUACCGGAUAGGACCUCGGAUCGCAUGAUCUGGGGUGGAAAGUUUUUCGGUCUGGGAUGGACUCGCGGCCUAUCAGCUUGUUGGUGAGGUAAUGGCUCACCAAGGCGUCGACGGGUAGCCGGCCUGAGAGGGUGACCGGCCACACUGGGACUGAGACACGGCCCAGACUCCUACGGGAGGCAGCAGUGGGGAAUAUUGCACAAUGGGCGCAAGCCUGAUGCAGCAACGCCGCGUGCGGGAUGACGGCCUUCGGGUUGUAAACCGCUUUUAGUAAGGAAGAAGGGGCUUCGGCCUUGACGGUACUUGCAGAAAAAGGACCGGCUAACUACGUGCCAGCAGCCGCGGUAAUACGUAGGGUCCGAGCGUUGUCCGGAAUUAUUGGGCGUAAAGAGCUCGUAGGCGGUUUGUCGCGUCUGCUGUGAAAACUAGAGGCUCAACCUCUAGCCUGCAGUGGGUACGGGCAGACUUGAGUGCGGUAGGGGAGAAUGGAAUUCCUGGUGUAGCGGUGGAAUGCGCAGAUAUCAGGAGGAACACCGAUGGCGAAGGCAGUUCUCUGGGCCGUAACUGACGCUGAGGAGCGAAAGCGUGGGGAGCGAACAGGAUUAGAUACCCUGGUAGUCCACGCCGUAAACGUUGGGCGCUAGAUGUGGGGACCUUUCCACGGUUUCCGUGUCGUAGCUAACGCAUUAAGCGCCCCGCCUGGGAGUACGGCCGCAAGGCUAAAACUCAAAGGAAUUGACGGGGCCCGCACA